GUGGGGAAUAUUGGGCAAUGGGCGAAAGCCUGACCCAGCAACGCCGCGUGAAGGAAGAAGGUUUUCGGAUCGUAAACUUCUAUCCUUGGUGAAGAUAAUGACGGUAGCCAAGAAGGAAGCCCCGGCUAACUACGUGCCAGCAGCCGCGGUAAUACGUAGGGGGCAAGCGUUGUCCGGAAUGAUUGGGCGUAAAGGGCGCGUAGGCGGCCCGGUAAGUCUGAAGUGAAAGUCCUGCUUUUAAGGUGGGAAUUGCUUUGGAUACUGUCGGGCUUGAGUGCAGGAGAGGUAAGCGGAAUUCCCGGUGUAGCGGUGAAAUGCGUAGAGAUCGGGAGGAACACCAGUGGCGAAGGCGGCUUACUGGCCCAAUACUGACGCUGAGGCGCGAAAGCGUGGGGAGCAAACAGGAUUAGAAACCCUAGUAGUCC
RNAcentral lists this ribosomal RNA (425 nucleotides) under uncultured bacterium. Its description in RNAcentral is "partial 16S ribosomal RNA". It matches the Rfam family "Bacterial small subunit ribosomal RNA", at positions 354 to 796 of the family's 1533-position model. The record is from RNAcentral.